UACGUAGGGUGCUAGCGUUGUUCGGAAUCACUGGGCGUAAAGGGAGUGUAGGCGGGAUCGUAAGUUAGGAGUUUAAUGCAUGGGCUUAACCCAUGAUCUGCUUUUAAUACUGCGGUUCUUGAGUAUGGGAGAGGGCGAUGGAAUUCCAGGUGUAGCGGUGGAAUGCGUAGAUAUCUGGAAGAACACCAGUAGCGAAGGCGGUCGCCUGGCCCAAUACUGACGCUGAUGCUCGAAAGCUAGGGGAG
RNAcentral lists this ribosomal RNA (245 nucleotides) under uncultured bacterium. RNAcentral's name for it is "partial 16S ribosomal RNA". It matches the Rfam family "Bacterial small subunit ribosomal RNA", at positions 524 to 768 of the family's 1533-position model. The record is from RNAcentral.